Molecule: long non-coding RNA, 330 nt
Organism: Salvia splendens (bonfire salvia)
Lineage: Eukaryota; Viridiplantae; Streptophyta; Magnoliopsida; Lamiales; Lamiaceae
Exons: 2
Source: RefSeq, a predicted model, not a curated record
CGCCGCCCUCCUCCGGCAGUCCAGUCGUCUCCGGAAAACAGUAGAUCGGUGCUCCCUUCUCCCUCAUCUCUCUCUCUUCUCUCCCCUCUUCACCGUCGCGCCACCAUCGCCGCUGCGGAUCACCGCCGUCGCGGGUCCGCCCAGCCGUCGUCGCCGAGGAUCUCCCUCCCCCUCCAGCCGCCGACGCCGAUUUCCGAGAGGAGGAAACUCGGUUCAAGCUCGUGGUGUCCGAGUUAAAGUACCCGCUUUCUUAAAACAUACAUUGUAUAAAUUUAAGUUUUGUUGGAUGUAUCGAACAUUAAAAUUUUGAUUAUGGGACUUAUUUAUUAA